AUGGAGAGGGAAUAGAAUGGUCCUGAGUGCUUUAUUACUUUGGUCUUUAACACCAGCGUGAGUUAAAUUAAGCUGGUGUUCGAAACAUGACCGAACGCGACUUAAGUCACAUUGGGUUAUACACCUACGUGAAUUAACUCACGCUGGGAUAUUUUAAUCAGUUUGGUUGGGUGUGAACGUUUUUUUGUUGGGAGAAGAGCAGUUUUCUACACAUUAACAAAUAAUAAUAAAUACAUUACAUCCAGAAAUUAAAGAGAAUUUAAUUUUAUUCCCCUAAAAUUUCUUUUUCACCUCUAAGUUGUUGUACUUCCGGUCCCGUGAGCGUAGCUCAUUUGGUAGGAUAAUGCAUUAUUAUAUGCAGGGGUCGGGAUUCGAACCCAGACACCCCACUUAUUCACCUUAUUAGGUGAAUUC
This 414-nucleotide long non-coding RNA is filed under the name Medicago truncatula (barrel medic). RNAcentral describes it as "lncRNA gene47780". Lineage: Eukaryota; Viridiplantae; Streptophyta; Magnoliopsida; Fabales; Fabaceae. The record is from RNAcentral.